AAUCCAUGAUGAAGACACUUUCGUAAGAGAUCAUUAUACUUUUCUCAUGCUUCAUACAAUGAGUCCAUGUCUUGUUGGAAGAAAUUAGUAAUAUCACUUGUCAUAUU
Small nucleolar RNA from Pistacia vera, 107 nucleotides. Lineage: Eukaryota; Viridiplantae; Streptophyta; Magnoliopsida; Sapindales; Anacardiaceae. The record is from RefSeq and is a predicted model, not a curated record.